RNAcentral lists this long non-coding RNA (3881 nucleotides) under Cinara cedri. Lineage: Eukaryota; Metazoa; Arthropoda; Insecta; Hemiptera; Aphididae. The record is from RNAcentral.
CUACUUAAUAUUUUUGAUUUCGGAAAUCCGAAUUUUCUUCGUCAUUAUUUAAUACUUUUAAAGCGGCGUAUAACUAAAGACCGGUCUCUGAGGAUGGUCGGACCACCCACAUGAUUUCACUGACCAACCCCGUCCGUCCUUCAGGCCAAAAUAUUUUUUAAAAGAAAUUCUAUAACAUUGAUAUCGAAAUCAAGUCAGUAUGUAAGAAAUUUUAUGUACUGUAUGCUAAUAUUUGCAUUGUAAUCAUUUGCUGCGCUUCGUUAAAAAUAAUUUAAUUUUAAUUCAACCGGUAAUAUUAUUACGAUCCCGUUUUUUUUUGUUUCGGUAAUUUCGCAUUUGUUUUAGGGGAACACUAUGAGCAUAGGUAUAAUGUUUAAUAUUUGGGCGGUGUUUAUAAAAUUCUUGUGCUACGCCCUGCACGUUUUGUUAAAAACCGACCGAUCGUAUCGCAAAUUGAUAACGGUGACCUUUUCGAUCAGCCGAUUGGGCGAAAAAAAAAAAACGUCUUUCUUAUAAUACUAAUAUUACUAUUAAUAAUAAUAUGCAACGUUGCCGAUUCGGUCGUGACGGACGUGGAAGUCGUGAUUUAUGAUAUUAUUCGCGUGUUUGUUUUUGAAAAUUUCAAUUACAGCGCGGGGAUACCGACGGCAUCGUCGAGGGAAAUAUGUUUUAGGAUAGAUUAGAUAUAGACGUUUUUUUAAGAUGGCCGAAAUACGGUCGAUUGAACAAUUUCAAUCUAAAGAAGGAAGGAAAAAAGUCCAAAAGAUUAUGGGGUGUAAAGGAAUUUCCACAAUAAUAUUUAAUCGAAUAAGUUCAGCUUGCGUGAUUGUUUAUAGAAAAACCGAUAUUUGAAUUUGCCGAGUUUUUAUGAAAACUAAACUUUUACACGGGUGACGUUACAUUUUAUUUCUUCUUCUAUAUGAGUAAUUUUUUCUACAAUUUUUACUGCGUAGCUCAAUCGUAAAAGAUCCGUUCGGUUCCCGGUAUUUGGCAUUACAUACCUACGUGUUAUUAUAGUAUUCAUUAAUAAUGACGUCUUAAUCGCCGCCUUUGACAGUAAAAAUCGUACGCGAUGUGAUAAAUCGGUCAAGUGAUAAUAAUAUUAUUAUGUAUAUUUUUAGAACGGCGACGCCCGAUAGCGACACGUUAAAAAAUAUCGGUAUCACAGAUAAUAUACAAAACCGACCGAAUACGAGAUUAUCUAAGAGGUGUGAUAAGUCGGAAGCCACAGUAUAAUAUUAUAUCGUAUUAGGGGGCGCGUUGUAUCGAUUAACCCGUAAAUAUUUGUUUAUGCUACGAUUCUGGUAAUGAUUUAUGGAUAAAAUUUGCGAUUUGUUUCAAAAACAGUUGUAGCCAGUGCUAGAAAGGCUUUAUAAUCAGAGAGUGCGGGCCAUUUAGUGGCUACACAUCAUCGGUGUCGCCGUUUUACGUUUUGUCUAUAAUGGUCUAUGGUGUAAAUUCCGGCCGGAUACUAGUAACACUGAUAAUAGUUCACUUAAUCGCCACUCCAAAAGUAUUAGACGAAGAUUUACUAGCUAUAAAUAGCGGAUCGUGCCUUGUGUACGUCUUAUAUGUAUUAUGCGACUCGAAAAUCAGACUGAAUCUGACAAGCAAAAAUGGGUAUCUAGGAAGAAAAAAAGACUAGUUAAUAAACCGUACAAAAGCGCGUUCCGUGAAACGAGCAGCUGUCCACACUAUUAAAUUGCGUAGACUCUGUGUAGUCUCUGAGACGGCCGUGAUUUUAAAUAUUUUUCAUAUCAUCACAUAAAUCGUGUUAUAAACAAAUAUUUUACGGUAUUAUCAAUACAAUUUGGCCUUUUGAUUUGGUGAUAUUGUGCAGGCUGCUAGGCUUCACAUAAAUUAUAAGAGUAGGUUAUUUAUUUAUAGAUGAGUUCAUCACACGACAUAGUUCACAGGUUGCAUAUAAUACCCGUAUAAGUUUAAUACACAUUUCUUUUAUCAUCGGUGACGCAUGCACGACUUCGCCGCCACAAUCUUAAUAUAUUUUUUGUUAUGUUUAGGUAAGGUGAAUAAUAUUUGUUUUUAGUAUUUACACGUUAUAAUAUUUUUAAUAAUUAAAAAAAAAAAAAAAAAACAACAAUGACUUUACGAUUAUCGGUAACAAACGAGAUUAUUUACACAUAUAAAAUGGUUUUUUUUUUUUUCGUUUAAACAAAUAUUCAAUGACGUUCGGUCGAUUCGAUAGGUAACACGGUGUAACACGAUUGUGAGUGAAAAUACUAUAAAAAUGUGACUUUUUUCGUUAAGUAUAAUACAAUAGUAAUUACGAUAUUAAUCGUCGAAAAAUCCCGUUAGUUAAUUUCUCAAUUAGUAUCAUCUUCGGUCCCAUUGAUUAUUAUUCUCGCGGUUUUCUUUCGCGAAAAUCCGACGUUACAUUUUCGAUUCGCCCGAAAGUAAUUGAUGAUCUAACUAUAUAUUUUUUUUUUCCACUGCACACUAUUACAAAAUAAUAAUAACAUAUAAUAUCGUACAAUUUAAAAAUAAAACAGAACAAAAAUCGACAAAAUAAUAUCGAUUAAUCUUAAGUAUAAAUUACAAUUUACUGCCGAGACCCCUUCGACCCGUUUUCAUUAAUUUUUUUUUUUUCUUAGUUGCUGUGUGCACGCAUUCUCGUUCCCAAAAACCAAAAUACUGGACCACCCAUUGACCCGAUAUUAAUACGAAUUCGUAUACCAACACACCGAUACUACUUAUGAAUUCAAAACUCCUCGUACAUUAUACACGAACGAAAAACAAUUUACUCGCGGUUAUCGCGCAGUGGUCAAACGCGGUAAACGCUAAUGUUUAAAUAAUUCGUGCAAAAAAAAAAAAAUGAAACCCCACGAGAAAGUUUUACCGGUAUUUCAGACAGGACGCCUUUGUAUGAUAUUUAACGGGAGGGCGAGCAGGCGAAUUCGUCAAAUGUAGAAGUAUUUCGGUUUGAACGAUUCAACAUUAUUUUUUUUUUUAUUUACGUUUGUUGUUUUUUUAUUUUUUCCUCCACUACGUACUCAAUAUGUUAAUAUGGUAAUAAGGGAGCGAAAGAAAAACCCCCGCGGGCCCUUCACGACCGAUUAUUUUUUGAAUCGUGUACGAUUAUCGAGCAGCCGAUUGAAAUAUUAUUUCCCGAUCAGGUACCCAUUCAAUUUCAGCACGUUCGGUGGCGAGUGAACGGGGUUUUUUUUUUCUCCGUUUUUGUCUCGAAAAUUAGAAUUCUUGUACGGCGUUUGUGAUGAUAAAAUAUUAUUUUGCUCUAGCAACCGUUCGAGCGACCGUUUUGACGAGAGAAAAAUCCGAAUGCGAUCGGUUCCGUCGUCGACGGAAUUUAAUCGACUCUCGACCGACUACAUGGAUAACAAUAAUAGUUUACCGGCGCGAUCGGAUGAAUAUUUUUUACAGAUAAUGAUAAUUCGUCGGGAAAUACCGAACAAUUAUUACGAGUAUGACGCGUUUAGAAACAAUAAUAAUAUUAUCGUGCCGAUGAUCGGACGGCGCGGUAUCCGGUACGGCCCUAUUAUCAUAUAGUUACAGCCGACGAUAACGGCGCGAACUGAACCCCGUUUAAAUGCGUUAUACGGCCGGUCGUGGCCGAACAAAUCGCCGCGAAACGACUCCGCGGGGUCCGAUCGUCAGUAUUAAUGGUUACCGCGUCCGGUAACCGCCUCCGCACGAGCGUUUACAACCGCGACGGCCGAACAAAACCCGACUAUGGGCUCGUCGGCGUCGUAGCCUCGAACGGGAUAAACGACUCGCCGAGAUUUUCGAAAUGGCGAUAGAUUACCAAAACGAACGCGCGGUAUGAGUCGUCUCCCUCCCCCUCCCACCGUCGAAACGGCGCUUUUCUCGCACGAAAGUUAUCGCGGACAUUUUCGGUUUAUAGC